UCGGAUCAGCGCCACCUGGUGCGACACAGAGCAGUUUUGAUGAAUAGUUGCGCUUUUGGGUGCUUUGACGAUGACCUUGCAGUCGGUAGGGUCGAGUUCCACUGGACAAGUGUUGACGGAACUUGGCAAAUCUCGACACGUCAUUGCAAAGUGUCUCGAAACAGGUAAGGUAGUUGUUAUCGACUCAGAAAUCUAGGUCCCAUCGAAGUUUUUGAAAAAUACGCCGUUGGAUUGAGAGGAAGUCUCUCGCUUCUUCCUUCAUAUAACCAGUGAAUCUCUUUUGCAGCAGCAAGUGAAUUUGUCUUCACAUCAGCGUUUUUGCAGCUAGCGUAGAAAUACUGAGUUUCGAGACGGAUGUUUGCUCUAUUGUGUGCCAGUACCGUUUUGCAUUUGUCUCCUUGGACUUUUGAGGUGGUCGCCUUCUUUCUCGUGGCUGGUGUCCAGAUUAUGUUAAGACGAAGUGAAGUCUCAGCAGGAAGUCAAAGCAUCGGGUUCGUGCUUGGAAUUUAUGCGUUACUUGUGGAACUGGUGUUGCCGUUUUGCUUUCUGUGCAUAGGUCUGUUCUCGGCAAUCCCCACUCACAGAAUUCAAGUCGAUCACUGUUCUUUGUAAGUCAUCGUGACUUAGUUGAUUAUUGAACAUAACAUACCCUUCCCCAGUAAGAUGGACAAGAUGCUACGUAGAAGUCACGCAUGGGUGGAGACUGCUCCUCCACAGCUCAUCACGGUGCGACGACGCGCUCUGCGGGAGCUUCCGCUGGACACAAUCCUCGAGGAAGGAAUAAGCGUAGCGGGGCACUUUCUUUGUGAAGCGUCCGCUGCAGAUCAGAAUCUUCGACCUACGCAGAGAUCCAGUUGGGUGGAUCUCGCCGGCUCUACCAGCUCCUCCAGCCUUCACCAACUUCUUCCUGCCAUAGCUUUCGCACAGUGAUUCUCGAGGUCGACGAGACACGACUCUGAAGGUUUGCAACAACGACCAUGAAGGAGCCCGAGUCGUUGGUUUCUACUUCGAUGGACCGACCACAUCACUUGCUCGUGAUUCUUACCCAGUGUCACGCAUUUGUUCGGGCCUGGAGUUUUUUUGUAAAUCAGAACAGCCACAGCAACUUAGAAGUGAAAGCUCGCUUGAUCGAUUGUUGCGCGAAGCGCUCCGUUCGUAGAAGCUUGGAUGCAGGUCAAGAGUGCUUGGAAGGACCCACAUCUUUUCUCGGAUGGAUUUGAACGUGAAUUUCUUACUAGGUAUGUGAUACCAUUACGAAAGAAUGUACUUAAUGAUCCUCCUAGUAGAACUUGCGCAAUGGAGACUUUAGAAUGUAUAUAUUGUGCAAAUACUUGCACAAAUUGGAAAAAUUGUAAAAUAAUGAAUGGUUUCUGGUAAAACUUCGCCUGGACCUUCUGCGUCAUCUCUUGUCUGGGAUUAUGCCUGCCCAAUUGAUAAUGGUUUUCAGAGAUGAGCCAUUAAAUACUGAAUGUUAUCAAGGCUGUUAUUUAACGGCCUCCUUUCAAAGCCAGCAUCUAUCGAGUUUGAGUCUCAACAGCAUGUAACUAUCACAACCCUCUGACGCCGAGAGUGUUGAGAAUUUGGGAACUUCCACAAAACAGAAACGGACCACUGAACACGUCCCAAUGCCUUGCCAGUACAUCAUGUAUUUACCACGCAAGAUUCAUGACCAUCGAUGUUCCUCGAAUCUCGUUCAGGACGUGUUCAGAAUUUUCAUGGGGUUACUUGGAUUUCAGCUACAAAUGUGGAAAUCCUAAACCCUGAAGUUUCAGGAUUGGACUUCGUCAGUCAUUCAUGGGACAGAGUUCAG
RNAcentral lists this long non-coding RNA (1810 nucleotides) under Physcomitrium patens. RNAcentral describes it as "long non-coding RNA (PPAT_LNC010631)". Lineage: Eukaryota; Viridiplantae; Streptophyta; Bryopsida; Funariales; Funariaceae. The record is from RNAcentral.